This is a non-coding RNA of Rhodocollybia butyracea, 81 nucleotides long. The record is from the annotation of a GenBank genome assembly. NCBI's taxonomy places the organism in Eukaryota, Fungi, Basidiomycota, Agaricomycetes, Agaricales, Omphalotaceae.
GGUUCGAUGGCGUAGUUGGUUAUCGCAUCUGUCUUACACGACUCUCACAGAAGGUCCUCGGUUCGAGCCCGGGUCGAGCCA